CAACAUGUGGAAGUUCCUGGGGCCAGGGAUGGAGCCUUAACUACAGCAGUAACCCAAGCCAAAGCAGUGACAAUACAGAGUUCUUAACUGCUAGGCCACCGGGAAACUCCUCAAUGUACUUUUUGAGUGUUAUUAAGGAUCACUCUGAUCAUUAAUUUCCCUGAAUUUUAUAUGCAAAAAAAUGUCAGGAGAGGAAAAACUCCGUGUUCUAAUUUUACCAAGGCCAAAAUCAGGCCAGAAACCUGAAGUUGGUGAUUUUACCACUGUAGCAAAAGAGGAGAGUAAGCUAUGUUACUGAUAGGUCCCAUCUAGCUCUCAAAUUCUACACCCUCUUGAAGAAUCUGAAAAUGGACAAUUCACAGGCAAUUCCAUGCCUCCAUGAUGUUUCCUCUGACUGAAAUCUCCCACUUCCCCUUACCCUUUUAGAGAACUCUUAUUAUACCAUCCAUUAAUUAUCCAUCACACCUUACACAAUGCCUUGCACGCAGCAGGUGCUAAGGAUGUGUUUAAAGAUCUGAGUCUACAAAGUUAAAUUAGGUUCUGUAAAGUUUUUGGAUGUACCAUCCGGGAAUUUAGCUUAAUUUGAAGAUGCACAGAGGUCAAACUGCAGCACAAACAAAGCUUUGUCCCAGUCAGAUUCACACACACAGUGCAAAUGUAUUCUGAGCCAUUUGUACAAAAGCUACACAAAGGUAUGGAAAUCCUGUGAAAUUGGAUUGUGAUGAUAAUUAUACAACUACAGAUGUGAGAAAAAAAUAAAUAAAAACAAAACAAAACAAAAAAGCUACGCAAAGGUAUCACUGCUGCAGAUUAUCUAAAUACCAUCUGAGGAUUACCUAACCUACCUCACCUUCCUACCUAAAGCCUCUUUAUCCUGAUCUACUUUGUUCCAUGGCAUUGACAACCUCCAACCAUACUAUGUAACAUACUGAUGUUCAGUGUUCAUGGUCAUUUACCAGAACAUAAGCUUUACUAAUGUAGGAAUUGUUGUCUGUUUUAUUCAUAAAUGAUAUCAGUGCCUACACCAGUGCCUGCACAAUGAAUGAUUUUUUUGGGGUGCCGUACCUGUGGCAUAUGGACAUCCCCAGGCUAGGGGUCGAAUCAGAGCUGCAAAUGCCGGCCUUCACCACAGCCACAGGAAUGCCAGGUCCCAGCCAAGUCUUCUACCUACAUCACAGUGUGAGGCAACACCGGAUCCUUAACCCACUGAGCAAGGCCCGGGAUGAAACUUCGUCCUCAUGGAUGCUAGUCAGGUUCUUAACCCAUUGAGCCACAAUGGGAACUCCUCGUUGGUUUUGUUUGUUGGGAGUAUUUUGUUUGUUUGUUUUGUCUUUUUGCUUUUUCUUGGGCUGCUCCUGUGGCAUAUGGAGAUUCCCAGGCUAGGGGUCUAAUCGGAGCCAAGCCGUAGCCACCGGCCCUACGCCAGAGUCACAGCAACGCUGGAUCAGAACCAAGUCUGCAACCUACACCACAGCUCACGACAACGCCGGAUCCUUAACCCACUGAGCAAGGCCAGGGAUUGAACCCACAACCUCAUGGUUCCUAGUCAGAUUCGUUAACCACUGAACCACGAUGGGAACUCCUGUUGGGGUGCUUUUUGUUGUUGUUGUUGUUUGUCUUUUUAGAGCCAUACCCGUGGCAUAUGGAGGUUCCCAGGCUAGGGGUCCAAUCGGAGCUGAAACCCCCAGGGUACACCAGAGCCACAGAAACACAGGAUCCAAGCGUCUGCAGCCUACACCACAACUCACGGCAACGCCGGGUCCUUAAUCCACUGGUCGAGGGCAGGGAUCAAACCCAUAUCCUCAUGGAUACUAGUCAGGUUCGCUGACUGCCAAGCCAUGACAGGAACUCCUUUUUGUUUUUUAAAAGGCUGAACUCAUGGCAUAUGGAAGUUCCUGGGCUAGUGACUGAAUCUCAGCCACAGCUGUGGCAACAAAGGAUCCUUUAAUCCACUGCAUGAGGCCAGGAAUCAAACCCAUGCCUCUGCAGUCACCCAAGCUACUGCAGUCAGCUUCUUUUCUUUUUUUUUUAGGGCCACACCCAUGGCACAUGGAGGUUCCUGGGCUGGGGGUUGAAUUAGAGCUGUAGCUGCCAGCCUACAUCACAGCCACGCAAGAUCCUCAACCCACUGAGCCGGCCAGGGAUCAAACCUGCAACGUCAUGGUUACUAGUCGGGUUCGUUAACCACCAAGCCAUGAUGGGAACUCCCUCCUUACAAGUAAGCUCCCAAGAACUGGAGGAAAGUGUUUGUAUUUAACUCCUAAACUGCAGCUCUUUUUUUUUCUUUGCUUAUCUGUUGGUACAGAAAUACUAUUCAGGAAAGUAACUACACCAGCAAGGAGAUAAUAACCAAAACUUUGUUCUUUCACUUCUGAUAAUAAAUAUACCUAUGUAUAAGGUCUUCACUUCUGUUUCUAAACUGCUGGUGGAAAAAUCAAAACCAAAAAAAUGUUAGAUUAAAUUUUUGGACUGUCAAGCCCACCAGCAAAAUAUGUUGAGAAUUUACUAAUUGUUACAUGUGACCUGACCGAAAAAUUGUGUUCCAAAUAGUACAGACCCACUAAUGUGCUUAUAUACAGUAGUUAUGGGAAGAUUUUUCUUAUGUAGCUAAUAUGCUUCAGGAGAAAUGAACUUAAACCACCACAUUUCUGUAAGUAUUAAAUACUGAGCCAUGGAAAAGUAGGGUACUAUUGUAUUUUUAUUCAGAAAAUACCACCAAAACUUUCUCUAUUGCCUAGUUUCAGCUAAAUACAGUUCUUCCCUGCUUCAAUCAAUUUUACCUAGGAGUUCCAAGAAACACAGGCCCUUCAGAAGCAGCCAACGACCGCAUCUACAUUGCUAUUUCAAAGACAGCUUCUAACUUUAUGAAGAAACCUAACAUGGGUAAUGUAAAAACUACUCAAGGUGAGAAGAAGCUGCAAGCCCAAAUGCCUGGAUAUCUUGAGUCAAACUAAAAUAGGAAACAAAGACUUCCAAGUUGCUCAGUCAUCUCAUCUAGCACUAUCUAUCUGACAAACUCAGAAUCCACUUCUAGGAUGAGCCUAAGAGAGAGGUUUCACAAGCUCAAACGUGUUAGGCAGGUUGACACAAGCCAGAUGUCUCUGUGCUCACUAGAAAUAUUGGCAAGCUCGCCUGCGGGUUAGCCUUCUGUGAUCACUCAGUUUUGCUUAAACACCCUAAAAAGGAUUAACAUUGGAGAUAUCAGCUUGUGAAAAUAAGGGUUAAAUUCUCAAAAUUCAGGUAUCAAUGUGAUGACAAAAAAUUAUGGGAUGUGGGGGAAAAAAGAAAACUGGAACAGAAAAUAUAAAUGCUAAUUUUCUCCACAACAGUAAAAGACAUAUAGGGUGGGUUUUAAUUCCAAUUUUUUAUUAGCUUUCUAAGCACAGAAGAAACAGAGAUGAAUCACAACAAAGCCUUCAAAAAAGUAAUUCCCCGGGGUGUGAGGUCCUGUUUUAUGAGGACCUGAGGCUUGCCUGCUGCCACCAAACUCCCAUCCAGCCACCCUAUCUUUCUGCCCAUCCACCCUCAACUCGUCUGCAAUAAACGAUAAGGGAAAUAAUGACCAGCACUAAAUGUGACGUUGAGUUGCUAUUUACAAAUGAUUUGCAAAACAACUCCCCAGUGGACCUAAGCAACCCAGGGCACACACCCAGACCCUACUUGGUGGUUGUCUAAAAGGAUAAAGCCUUACUCUUCAGGGGAGCACACCGGCAGGAGGGGGCACCUCGAGAAAGCAAGGCGCUCCAGCCCCCAAGACCCCAGGCUGUCACCAGGGGAUCCUGGCCCACAAGCAGCCUCGUUAAAGUGUUACCUUCACAAGACUUAUCACCCCAACUUUCCACUCCUAAAACCUAAGUGGGAGUGAAAGGGUCCUGGGGUGAAAGGAGCAAGUAGAAAGCUCUAUCUUCUGUGCUCAGAACCUAGAAAAAAGCAAUGGGCAGGGCAGACGGAGACGGCAACCGGCACGCGUCGGAAACAGGCCGUGCAGGAGAGUGGGAGGUCUCUAAGCGUGCAAACACACGCAAGAGAGGAACACGAGCAAAGGCUGUGGUGAUGCAGAAAUGCGGGAGCAGAAAUCGGAUGUGUCGAGUUUGGGGUCGAGGUAGAGAGAGGGGGCUGGAGGAGUCCCUGCGUGCUCGAAGCGGGUUCGGGAGGCGGCGGCCAUCAGGCUCCGCGAGCUCUUGGGUCAGGUUCCCGGAGACCUGCGCGGUGGGGACGCCCGGCGCGAGCAGCGAGAGACAAGGCAGGCGGUGGGGGCCGCGGCCCAGGUCGCCUGAACAAAGCCGGCGCGCGCGGGGUCCGGCUACUCACAACAAGAAGCUCAUGUCGGCCGCGGGGCGGGCUGCGGGCUCGGCGGUCGCGAGGCCUCUGGGCGGCGGCGGCGGCCAGGCCAGGCCAGGAGAGGAAGAGAAGGACGAGGACGAAGAGGAGGCGGGGAGCGCCGGCUGCUCGGCGGCCGCAACUUCUUCGGCUCUGCUAGUUCCAAUGGCAGGCAGAG
This 4498-nucleotide long non-coding RNA is filed under the name Sus scrofa (pig). RNAcentral describes it as "lncRNA (ENSSSCG00035073159.1)". Lineage: Eukaryota; Metazoa; Chordata; Mammalia; Artiodactyla; Suidae. The record is from RNAcentral.